UGCAAGUCGAACGGAAAAUUGAGCUUCGGUUCAAUUUUUAGUGGCGAACGGGUGAGUAACACGUGAGCAACCUGCCCUACAGUGGGGGAUAACGUUUUGAAAAGAACGCUAAUACCGCAUAACGUAUCGGAGAGGCAUCUUUCUGAUACCAAAGGAGCAAUCCGCUGUAAGAUGGGCUCGCGUCCGAUUAGCCAGUUGGCGGGUAACGGCCCACCAAGUCGACGAUCAGUAGCCGGACUGAGAGGUUGAACGGCCACAUUGGGACUGAGACACGGCCCAGACUCC
RNAcentral lists this ribosomal RNA (285 nucleotides) under uncultured Eubacteriales bacterium. Its description in RNAcentral is "uncultured Clostridiales bacterium partial 16S ribosomal RNA". It matches the Rfam family "Bacterial small subunit ribosomal RNA", at positions 56 to 339 of the family's 1533-position model. The record is from RNAcentral. Lineage: Bacteria; Bacillati; Bacillota; Clostridia; Eubacteriales.